AUGCAAAAAAACAAAUCAGGCUUCAGGAUGGAAAAUAGGAAUAGAGGCCCAACGACUUCAUGCCCAAGCCAUCUUCUCUUCUCAUCGCGGCGCUACAGUUUCUCAUUCAUCACCUUCUUCUCUUCCGAUCAAACACUCCGCCGUACCAGACUACCACCACCGUCCGUCUCUCUUCCACUCACCUUCGCGCUUUCUCUCAACUCCAUAGCUCCAUCUCAUUCGAUUUCCUUUCAACGCGUCUCGAAGCUCCAUCUCAUUCGAUUUCCUUUCAACGCGUCUCGAAGCUCCGUCUCGUUCGAUUUUGACUGCGAACCAACCUUCGUCAUCGGCUCCAAGCUUCGUCUUGCUCCAUCUCCGCUCAAGCGUUUUUGUUCGCCUUCGGUUCACUCAUCUCCAACCUUUUGCUUCGCUUCUACGCCCUCACAUCAUGCCUCGAUCUCUCUUCAGUCCGAACGAAAACAAGAACACGAUGCAGAAUAA
Molecule: non-coding RNA, 480 nt
Organism: Vicia faba (fava bean)
Lineage: Eukaryota; Viridiplantae; Streptophyta; Magnoliopsida; Fabales; Fabaceae
Source: the annotation of a GenBank genome assembly